CGGCAUAUUUUUACAUAAUUUCAUUGCGAAUCUUCAGCUGAUCUACUCGCGGCGGCACGCAGUCGUCGGUGAUCGUGCAUCGAGGACAGUAUUUUCUAAUCGUUCUUCCACGUGCGGCACACGACCCUCCUUUUUUACAUCGCAUAUGUAAUGUACGAUCGAUUGAAAUGAUAACGAUUUGAAAAUGAGCAUACACAGAAGAAGAGAAAAACAUCGAACCACUCCGAAUCACCGAAUUAAAGAAAAAUCUUAAUGCCACGCCGAAAAUCUGAGUAUCGUUGCUAGAUGUGAAUUGGUGAUCUUGAAAUUAAAUACGUCAGUUUAAAUUUAGCCUCGAUAACAAGGAGGCAAUGGCAUUCGCAUAAGAAAAUACUGCCGGCGGAAAUUGACCUAGAUUAUGGCGGUGCGCCUACAAACCCUAUGUGAUAGAGUUAAUUGUUACUAUAACACGCUGCAUCUACUAGUGAUGUAACGAAUAUUCGCGUUCGCAUUCGCAUUCGCAUUUGCAAAAAUUUUACGAAUAUUUUUAGAAUGUAAUUGUCACAAAUACUUCAUAUUUUGAUUGUAAAAAUUGUGAAAAUAAUAUUAAAUAAGACAAAAAACAUUAUAUCGAUACUGAACAUUUGUUAUAAAAGUUUGUCGUCACGUUUGAAUCACACUCUAACCUCGAAAUAAUUUGUUUCUGUUAUCAAUUUAUCGUUGAAUAAUCAAACAAUCGGUUUGGUUCGGAUCAGCUCGGCAAUUUCCGGAAUAAGAUGCAAACCACGAAGUGACUUGAACAGUGUACCUGUCAGUCAAUCAGUUGUCAAUUUUUAGCCAUAGAGAAAUGGUGCUAUGAAUGGAUUUAAAAAUCUAUAUUCACAUUCUCAUUCGCGAAUUCUUCAAAAUUUACAUUCGUUAGAUUUCUAAUAUCUACUGUAAAAUAGCACGUCGUCAGGAUUUCGCCUCUUGAUUCGGUCGGCCUCUAGAUGGCCUCAGGAUUGAGUCUCUUACUAUGCAUAUAGCAAAUUGACUGGAUUUCACUGGUGUGUUGUGGAUUGUAAUAACGGUACAGGAAGAAGCUUGUAACUGCCUAAUCUCAGACUUGUUAUAUGACGUUAGCGGGAAAUAAAAGAAGAACAUUUUCAAGCUUUGGGCUGAUUGUAAUUAUAUCAUACCGAGAGGAUUCCUUAAAAGGAAACGACCGUGCAUUUAAUUUUUGGUAUAUUGGUAAUCAUGGGGCCGACUGCCGCUGACAGGGACUCCGAAAACAGAGGUUACAGCUUGCGCUGUCAAAAAUUAAGCUUUGUAAAAGUGUUCAUCGAAUCUGGUACAUUUGAACAUGAUUAUCUUAUGCAAACUGCGUCGCAACGUGAGCUAGGUCAAAACCUGUCCUAAGAAAUUCACCGCUGGAAUUUGCAAAGUUAUGGAGAUGCCACACAUAAAUCGCUGAAUGAUGUCAAAAUGCAUCUAGCUUUAUUGGAAUUUUGGAUUUGCUUGUUUUUGGGCAAGUACUUGUAUGGCGAUUGCGAAUCUUGCAACAGAAAUAAAAACCGAGUAGGGGUACUAUACAUGUAUAUAUACUAUAUAUGUGUGACCAAGAUAAGUUGUAUCAAUCCCUGCAUUAAAUAUGUGACCUGUUCAGCUUCUUGAAAGUAAUUUUGAGAUUAUCGGUUAUCACUCUUACAUACCGACAUAUCAGUUGCACGCGGAAUUGAUAAAAGCAUUUUUCUCUUGGCAAUUCACGAUAAAAUUGUUAUACGCAUAAUUUCCUUGAUCGUAAUAACGUCAGUAUAAUUUUUGCCCACUUUGUACAGAAAAAUGAUAGUGUACUUAUAACUGUAUGCAAUACUCUCAACAAUCUUGCACAAUAAUGUGUCGUGUUAUACUGGAUUGAUUUUAUUGCCUAUCACGUUUGUACAGGAUCAAGUCAUUUGAACUCUCGACAGAUUUGUAUUCUUGACUAAACUUCAACACAGAAGAAGACUUUUGAGUUAAUAGGGUUAACAAGAUUACCUCUUUUAUUAACAGUGUAGCACGUUUGCUAUACGCCUCGUCAAAUUUCGUUUAUAUACAGAUAUCAUUUAACGCAUUUCAAUACCGGU
Molecule: long non-coding RNA, 2084 nt
Filed under: Neodiprion lecontei (redheaded pine sawfly)
Lineage: Eukaryota; Metazoa; Arthropoda; Insecta; Hymenoptera; Diprionidae
Description: uncharacterized LOC124295357
Source: RNAcentral